This 73-nucleotide transfer RNA is filed under the name Atopostipes suicloacalis. Its description in RNAcentral is "tRNA-Arg". It matches the Rfam family "tRNA". From Rfam's summary of the family: Transfer RNA (tRNA) molecules are approximately 80 nucleotides in length. Their secondary structure includes four short double-helical elements and three loops (D, anti-codon, and T loops). The record is from RNAcentral. Lineage: Bacteria; Bacillati; Bacillota; Bacilli; Lactobacillales; Carnobacteriaceae.
GUUCGCUUAGAUUAACUGGAUAAAUCAAUUUCCUCCUAAGAAAUAGAUAAGGGUUCGAGUCCCUUAGCGAAUA